This 154-nucleotide small RNA is filed under the name Aureimonas altamirensis. Its description in RNAcentral is "Aurantimonas altamirensis Alphaproteobacterial sRNA ar9". It matches the Rfam family "Alphaproteobacterial sRNA ar9". Lineage: Bacteria; Pseudomonadati; Pseudomonadota; Alphaproteobacteria; Hyphomicrobiales; Aurantimonadaceae. The record is from Rfam by way of RNAcentral.
CCAAUACCAAGGCACCGGAGACGGUGUCGCAUUCGCGGUCUAGUCUUGGGAGGACGUGAUCUCCGGCGCGCUAAUGCCGCUGCCCCGGUUUCAAGACCCGGUGUGAGAUCCAGACCUGCAACUAAAAUGCGAGGCGAAAGCCUCGCAUUUUUUU